RNAcentral lists this ribosomal RNA (496 nucleotides) under uncultured bacterium. Its description in RNAcentral is "bacterial SSU rRNA". It matches the Rfam family "Bacterial small subunit ribosomal RNA", at positions 29 to 518 of the family's 1533-position model. The record is from RNAcentral.
AUGAACGCUAGCGACAGGCCUAACACAUGCAAGUCGAGGGGCAGCACAAGGAGCAAUCUGAGGUGGCGACCGGCGCACGGGUGAGUAACACGUAUGCAACCUGCCUGUAAGCGGGGAAUAACCCGUUGAAAGACGGACUAAUACCGCAUAAUACUAAAUUACUGCAUGGUAAUUUAUUUAAACAUUUAUGGCUUACAGAUGGGCAUGCGCAUGAUUAGCUAGUUGGAGAGGUAACGGCUCCCCAAGGCAACGAUCAUUAGGGGUUCUGAGAGGAAGGUCCCCCACACUGGUACUGAGACACGGACCAGACUCCUACGGGAGGCAGCAGUGAGGAAUAUUGGUCAAUGGACGAGAGUCUGAACCAGCCAAGUCGCGUGCAGGAAGAAUGUUCCCUAUGGAUUGUAAACUGCUUUUGCAGGGGAAUAAAGUGCAUCACGUGUGAUGUUUUGUAUGUACUCUGCGAAUAAGGAUCGGCUAACUCCGUGCCAGCAGCUGC